Long non-coding RNA from Canis lupus familiaris (dog), 399 nucleotides. RefSeq lists it as uncharacterized. The record is from RefSeq and is a predicted model, not a curated record. The transcript has 2 exons. NCBI's taxonomy places the organism in Eukaryota, Metazoa, Chordata, Mammalia, Carnivora, Canidae.
CAACACCUUGACCUCAGACUUCUAGGUUCCAUAGCUGUGAUGGAACAUGUGUCUGCUGUUGAAGCCACCUUGCCUGAGGCUGCUGACAUGCUGACAACCAGGAGUGUCAUAGCACAAGAAGAGAAUGGAGCAGCCAUUGCCAAGGGGAGACAGAGAGGAGCUGUUCCCAGCUGCAAGCCUGGUCCUGCAAGAGUCUCCACAUUUUUUCCUAGUGCAGGUUGGAUGUAAAUUUCAACCCAAAAGAACUUUAGACCUUCCGAUGGCUAAUUUUACGUGUUAACUUGACUGAGCUAAGGGAUGCUCAGAUAACUGAGCAUUAUUUCUGGGGAUGUCCAUGAGGGUGUCUCUGAAAUGUAUUAGCCUUUGGAUCAAUAGCCUGAGUAAAGAAAGUUGCCCUCA